Molecule: long non-coding RNA, 647 nt
Organism: Glycine soja
Lineage: Eukaryota; Viridiplantae; Streptophyta; Magnoliopsida; Fabales; Fabaceae
Exons: 2
Source: RefSeq, a predicted model, not a curated record
UUAUACAAUUUGAAGAUCAAGAUAUGUCACAAGUGGGUAAAUCUCAACUAGAUACAUAUUUGGAAGAGGCAAAUCUUUCAAAUAAAUAUCAUCCCAAUCUUGAUGUUUUGCAAUAUUGGAAGGACAAUCAAGCUCAGUUUCCAGAUCUUUCACUAUUGGCUUGUGUUAUUUUAAGCAUCCAAAUUACAACGGUGGCUUCCGAAUCAGCAUUUAGUAUUGGCUCACGGGUGCUUAAAAAAUAUUGAACUAGGCUUAUUGCUGACAACAUGCAAGCCUUGAUAUGUACUAAAAAUUGGUUACUACGAUUUGAAAUGCAAGGAAAAGAAGAUGAAGAUGUGGAGAUGGAGAAGGCUCAAGCUACUUCAAAUAUAGAAUCAUUUGUUGUUGGAGAUGUUUCAUAUUCUAAAGCAAGCACAAAGGAACCAAGUGCUAAAAUAUCCAAAGUCAAAUACAAGGAUGAAAUAGUAAAUUGUCCAGAAAAUUAAUGACUUAUAAUACUAGAUAAAAGUAGGAUGUAAAAGAAACUUCUAUGGAUGUAAAAGCUUCUUGAUUUGUGAGAAAAUUUUGUAACUCCUCCAAUGAUGGUUGGUUGGUCCAUCUUUGAAUGGACAUGAUAAAUGGAGAAUACUCCUUUUUCAAACCCCUAA